GAUGAAGAACGUAGUGAAGUGCGAUAAGUAAUGUGAAUUGCAGAAUUCCGUGAAUCAUCGAAUUUUUGAACGCAAAUUGCACUCUCUGGUAUUCCGGAGAGUAUGCCUGUUUGAGGGUCAGUAAAAUAAAAAUCGAUGUUGUUGUCAAUGAUAACGCGUCGGAAUUGAGUCGUCUUACCUUUGGUUAAGUGACUUAAAAUUUUUACGCGAAUUCGAAACGUAUUUAAUGUUUAUGUACGUUUGCGAUAUUCCAAUAUUUAUUAGGUGCGGUCAUUCCUAUGAUUCGCGUCUAUAAUUUUUCAUUUCUUGACCUCAAAUCAGGUAAGAGUACCCGCUGAACUUAAGCAUAUCAAUAAGCGGAGGA
Molecule: unclassified non-coding RNA, 364 nt
Filed under: soil metagenome
Description: partial contains 5.8S ribosomal RNA, internal transcribed spacer 2, and large subunit ribosomal RNA
Rfam family: 5.8S ribosomal RNA (bases 1-120)
Source: RNAcentral